AACGUACGCUGGCGGCACGCUUAACACAUGCAAGUCGAACGAAGUAGCAAUACUUAGUGGCAGACGGGUGAGUAACAUGUGGGUAUCUGCCCUUUGGCCUGGAAUAACACGAGGAAACUUGUGCUAAUACCGGAUAAGUCUUUACGGAGAAAGCUUUAUGCACCAUUGGAUGAGCCCGCACUUGAUUAGUUUGUUGGUGGGGUAAUGGCCUACCAAGACUGUGAUCAAUAGCUGAUUUGAGAGGAUGAUCAGCCACAUUGGAACUGAGACACGGCCCAAACUCCUACGGGAGGCAGCAGUGGGGAAUCUUGCACAAUGGAGGAAACUCUGAUGCAGCGAUGCCGCGUGAGUGAAGAAGGCCCUUGGGUUGUAAAGCUCUUUCGUCGGGGAAGAAAAUGACUGUACCCGAAUAAGAAGGCCCGGCUAACUUCGUGCCAGCAGCCGCGGUAAUACGAAGGGACCUAGCGUAGUUCGGAAUUACUGGGCUUAAAGAGUUCGUAGGUGGUUGAAAAAGUUAGUGGUGAAAUCCCAGAGCUUAACUCUGGAACUGCCAUUAAAACUUUUCAGCUAGAGUAUGAUAGAGGAAAGCAGAAUUUCUAGUGUAGAGGUGAAAUUCGUAGAUAUUAGAAAGAAUACCAAUUGCGAAGGCAGCUUUCUGGAUCAUUACUGACACUGAGGAACGAAAGCAUGGGUAGCGAAGAGGAUUAGAUACCCUCGUAGUCCAUGCCGUAAACGAUGUGUGUUAGACGUUGGAAAUUUAUUUUCAGUGUCGCAGCGAAAGCGAUAAACACACCGCCUGGGGAGUACGACCGCAAGGUUAAAACUCAAAUGAAUUGACGGGGACCCGCACAAGUAGUGGAGCAUGUGGUUUAAUUCGAAGAUACGCGCAGAACCUUACCAACACUUGACAUGUUCGUCGCGACUCUAAGAGAUUAGAGUUUUCGGUUCGGCCGGACGAAACACAGGUGCUGCAUGGCUGUCGUCAGCUCGUGUCGUGAGAUGUUGGGUUAAGUCCCGCAACGAGCGCAACCCUCACUUUUAGUUGCCAUCAUUAAGUUGGGCACUCUGAAAGAACUGCCAGUGAUAAGCUGGAGGAAGGUGGGGAUGACGUCAAGUCCUCAUGGCCCUUACGUGUUGGGCUACACACGUGCUACAAUGGUAUCUACAACAGGAAGCAAGACUGCGAGGUCAAGCAAAUCCUUAAAAGAUACCUCAGUUCGGAUUGCACUCUGCAACUCGAGUGCAUGAAGCUGGAAUUACUAGUAAUCGUGGAUCAGCGUGCCACGGUGAAUGCGUUCCCGGGUCU
RNAcentral lists this ribosomal RNA (1306 nucleotides) under uncultured bacterium. Its description in RNAcentral is "bacterial SSU rRNA". It matches the Rfam family "Bacterial small subunit ribosomal RNA", at positions 28 to 1381 of the family's 1533-position model. The record is from RNAcentral.